ACCCGCUGAAUUUAAGCAUAUAAGUAAGCAGAGGACAGCAAACUGAAAAGGAUUCCUUCAGUAGUGGCGAAUGAACAAGGAAUAGCUCAAGCUGACAAUCUGGACCGCAAGUCUUGAGUUGCAAGAUACAUUUGCAAUGCCAAUGGAAGUGUGCAUGUAAGGCUGUUGGUAAAAAGCAGCACUGAAGGUGAAACUCGUGUGUGUCAUGUGCAAUCUUUCAUGUAAGGCUUGCUCUUGAGAGUCGCGUUCCUUGGCAGUGGAGCGCAAAAUGGGUGGUACAAUUCAUCCAAAGCUAAAUAUUGGGUUGAGACCGAUAGCAAACAAGUACCAUGAGGGAAAUGUGAAAAGGACUUUGGAAAGAAAGUUAAAAGUACCCGAAAUUGCUGGAAUGAAAGCAAAUGAAAUGUCUGAGCAUAAGUAAGAUUGCAGCUCGCUGGGGACAGCCAGCUGGUGCAUAUGUCUAAGCACUCUUGGCAGUUCUUGCGUGUUGCGCAUCUUGCUUUGCAUGUCAAGCCCAAGCUGUAAUGUCAAAUCUAUGAGCAUGAGGUAUCAAUCAUUGUUUGGGGUGGUCAUGCUUACACCUGUCAAUCAGCUUGGUAUUUUUUGUCAGGUUUUGCCAGUGUUGCAACUCCUGGCAUUCUGUUGACAUGAUGCUUCAUUUGACCCGUCUUGAAACACGGACCAAGGAGUCUAAUGCAUGUGCAAGCUUUUGGUUUGUUACAAUUGGGGGCAUAAUGAAAAUGAUAGUCGGGAUGUGUGCGCCGACAGCCAACCAAUUAAUUGCAAGAGGUUUGAGUCUGAGCAUGUUCAUUAGGACCCGAAAGAUGGUGAACUAUGCCUGAGAAAAAUAAAGUCAGGGGAAACCCUGAUGGAGGCUUGCAGCGGUACUGACGUGCAAAUCGUUCGUCAUACUUGGGUAUAGGGGCGAAAGACUAAUCGAACCAUCUAGUAGCUGGUUCCCUCCGAAGUUUCCCUCAGGAUAGCUGGAGCUGCAGAGUUUCAUCAGGUAAAGCGAAUGAUUAGAGGAAUUGGGGGCGUGUUGUCCUUGACCUAUUCUCAAACUUUAAAUGGGUAAGUUCCAAUGGUUGUUUUUGUAAACUUUUGGGAAAAUUGAUAUUCUAUGUGGGCCAUUUUUGGUAAGCAGAAUUGGCGAUGAGGGAUGAACCUAACGUUUGGAUAAGGUGCUUGACUGCUCGCUCAUCAGAUACCAUAAAAGGUGUUGGUUCAUUUAAACAGCAGGACGGUGGUCAUGGAAGUCGAAAUCCGCUAAGGAGUGUGUAACAACUCACCUGCCGAAUGGACUAGCCCUGAAAAUGGAUGGCGCUCAAGCGGGUGACCAAUACCUAGCCGCUGUGGAAAAUAUCAAUCAACAGUGAGUAGGGGGGUUCAAUAGUUUGUGAUGAAGCCCUUGGUGUAAUCCUGGGCGGAACAGCUCUUAUUGCAGAUCUUGGUGGUAGUAGC
RNAcentral lists this ribosomal RNA (1461 nucleotides) under Gonyaulax sp. Its description in RNAcentral is "partial large subunit ribosomal RNA". It matches the Rfam family "Eukaryotic large subunit ribosomal RNA", at positions 23 to 1464 of the family's 3401-position model. The record is from RNAcentral. Lineage: Eukaryota; Dinophyceae; Gonyaulacales; Gonyaulacaceae.